GGGGGUUCUGGUCGAUCAAGAAUGAGCAGGGGCGACACCCCACUCUCAAACCCUAGAAAAGUUCACUAAAACUCUCAAUUGGAGGUGCAAAUCUGGUCCAAAACGAAAUUCGAGCAUAGAUUAUUAAUCCUCAUCACAGGAGGAUUACAAGUUUGACGCGUAACAAGCUAGGUGGAAGCUUGAUGAGGGAGCGGAUCAAACAAAUCAAGAAGGAAAGGAAAAGCAUAGUUCGAAUGCGAAGUAAGUAUAGCUUACACUAGUCAUAUAGUUUAGAAUGUCCUUUUGUUGUUUUGAUUUCGAACAAGACAAAUGGAAAGUUGAGAUAUGGUGUUUGUGGCGUGUAGUCGUACGGAACAAGAUAACCAAUAAGGGUAAAAUUGAAAUUUGGACACUUGUUGACAAUAAUUAUUGGUUUUGAAAGAUACAUAUUUCGUAAGCCUUAUUAGGCCAAAAAGCGUUAAGAGGUGAAUUAUAGUUAAAACGACCGUGCAGUGUAAAUCGGAACGAGUCGUGUAGACGAGAUGGCAAUAAGCUUUAUCUCGCCAAUAUUAUCGGUCAUUUAGACCAACGGGUCAAAAGGUGAAAAUAUCACUUUUGACAAUAUCGACUAAUGGUUUGAUGAGUUGUUUGAUUUCAGAAAUAAAUAUCGAGUGGAUAUUUACAUCGCUAUUACUUAGUAGAUAUUGAGGCAAGGUACUUAAAUGGGUCAAUGUAAUGAUCCGAGCCAGGUACGCAUAAUAAGAUAACUCUCAUUUAAAUGUAAGGCUAAUGAGAGUUAAACGAAGUCUAAAAUAAGUUUUUGGUUACCUUAAUAGGUAAACCAAAUGUUACGGACGAUGGUCAUUAUAUUUGUUAUAGGUUUCUAACCAUUACCAAGAGUUUAAUAAGGGUUUUAGCCAUGGAAAUGGGUUGCAUUUGAGGGUUUAGUUCGAAUUUAAAAUGACCCUAAACAUGAUUUCCGCAGCUUUUUAUACGGAUUUCGACUAAUCUUUAAAAAAUCAUAUAAAAUCAACCGUUUAUCCGAUUUGGGUGUUCUAUACCUUUUCGGAAAGCUUAUGAAGUAAAUUUUUACUGUUUUCAAUCAUAAGAAACAAAUGUGGUUGUUAAAUAGGCCAAAAGAAUGAAUUAAACAGCAGUUCAAAACCUUGAAAGCUGUUUGAAAAAUGAAAAUAUAGUUGAUGUGCUGAUUUUAUAAAAAUCAUAUAAAAUCAUAGAAAAUUCGUUAGAAGGUGUACCUUAUAUGCUUGCGAAGGUAUUGAAGUUUUCUACGAUCCAUCUUUGAACAUGUUAAUCUAGUUCGGGCUCUGAAUGGGUCAUAAUGGUCAAUUACAGCAGCUGUAUAAAAAAAUCGCUGCACAUUAAUAAUGUCAUUAUUAAUCCAGAAAAAGACAUAUGAUUGCGUAUACUUGAUUUAGUCAUGCCACCGUAAGUUACGGUGGAGCUGAUAUGAUUACGAUGGUUACAUACUGAGUUACGGUGGACCCAGAAACAAAGUAUAUUUUAUUUAGUUUAAAUUCCCGGAUUCGUUUAGACACGUUUUAAACUCUGUUUGACUAAAGUAUUUCAUGUUUAUGAAAUAUAGGUACUUUUGGAUGCCGGAAGACGAUCAAGCUCAGCGAAGAACCGAACACGAUAAAGAUACACGCUUCCGCACUUUGCCACGUUGUAAAUUUUAAACAACGAAUUCGAUCACGUUAUGUAGAAUAACUUAUGAUUUGUAAAACUUUUAGUAAACCCGUAUUUCUGAUGUAUAUGUAAUCGUGAUUACAUGAUAGUUUUCGUAAAAGAUUCAUUAAACCUUAAAUUAUAAGAACGGGUGUUACAAGUUGGUAUCAGAGCCUUGGUUUAAGAGAUUCGAGUAUGGUGGGGAGGAACCAUGCUUGGACUUAAACCUUAUGCUCUUGACAAAGAAUAGUGUUCGGUUCGAGGCUUGAUCGCAAAUCCGGUAAGUACAAGUACGUUAAUAGUUAGUAUGCUAAAGUGUUGUAAACAACACAUAGGGCUAUCGUGUGGUAUAUGUUACCCCAAUUUAAAUGAUUGACAUGGUUGACGAAAAUACGCGCGUUGACGCGUAUAGUAGAAAAAGCCUUGUAUUAUAAUACGGGCGAUUAUUGAAGUUGACAUUACUAACUCUUGUGAAUGUUUUAAUUGAAGGACACUCGCGUCUGAAGAUGACGGGAGUUGAACGAAUUAUGGAUAUGAUGAUGGAACGGUCCGAGGUAUGAUAGGAAGAGCAUACUCAUCAAGGACCAAAAUCGCGUAACGGUCGCGAACAAGACCAAUGACAAGAGAAGCCCGUACUUUUGGAUGCCGGAAGACGAUCAAGCUCAGCGAAUAACCGAACACGAUAAAGAUACACGCUUCCGCACUUUGCCACGUUGUAAAUUUUAAACAACGAAUUCGAUCACGUUAUGUAGAAUAACUUAUGAUUUGCAAAACUUUUAGUAAACCCGUAUUUCUGAUGUAUAUGUAAUCGUGAUUACAUGAUAGUUUUCGUAAAAGAUUCAUUAAACCUUAAAUUAUAAGAACGGGUGUUACACAACACCAUCAUCC
Molecule: long non-coding RNA, 2553 nt
Filed under: Helianthus annuus (common sunflower)
Lineage: Eukaryota; Viridiplantae; Streptophyta; Magnoliopsida; Asterales; Asteraceae
Description: hypothetical non coding rna
Source: RNAcentral